Molecule: ribosomal RNA, 253 nt
Filed under: uncultured bacterium
Lineage: Bacteria
Description: partial 16S ribosomal RNA
Rfam family: Bacterial small subunit ribosomal RNA
Source: RNAcentral
GACAGAGGGGGCAAGCGUUGCUCGGAAUCACUGGGCGUAAAGGGCGCGUAGGCGGGCUGGCAAGUCAGUCGUGAAAUCUCUCGGCUCAACCGAGAAACGUCGGCUGAUACUGCCGUUCUUGAGGGAUGCAGAGGAGACUGGAAUUCCCGGUGUAGCGGUGAAAUGUGUAGAGAUCGGGAGGAACACCGGUGGCGAAGGCGGGUCUCUGGGCAUUUCCUGACGCUGAGGCGCGAAAGCGUGGGGAGCAAACAGG